AGAGUUUGAUCCUGGCUCAGAGUGAACGCUGGCGGCGUGCCUAAUACAUGCAAGUCGAACGAUGAAGCUUCUAGCUUGCUAGAAGUGGAUUAGUGGCGCACGGGGUGAGUAACGCAUAGGUCAUGUGCCUCUUAGUUUGGGAUAGCCAUUGGAAACGAUGAUUAAUACCAGAUACUCCCUACGGGGGAAAGAUUUAUCGCUAAGAGAUCAGCCUAUGUCCUAUCAGCUUGUUGGUAAGGUAAUGGCUUACCAAGGCUAUGACGGGUAUCCGGCCUGAGAGGGUGAACGGACACACUGGAACUGAGACACGGUCCAGACUCCUACGGGAGGCAGCAGUAGGGAAUAUUGCUCAAUGGGGGAAACCCUGAAGCAGCAACGCCGCGUGGAGGAUGAAGGUUUUAGGAUUGUAAACUCCUUUUGUUAGAGAAGAUAAUGACGGUAUCUAACGAAUAAGCACAGGCUAACUCCGUGCCAGCAGCCGCGGUAAUACGGAGGGUGCAAGCGUUACUCGGAAUCACUGGGCGUAAAGAGCGCGUAGGCGGGAUAGUCAGUCAGGUGUGAAAUCCUAUGGCUUAACCAUAGAACUGCAUUUGAAACUACUAUUCUAGAGUGUGGGAGAGGUAGGUGGAAUUCUUGGUGUAGGGGUAAAAUCCGUAGAGAUCAAGAGGAAUACUCAUUGCGAAGGCGACCUGCUGGAACAUUACUGACGCUGAUUGCACGAAAGCGUGGGGAGCAAACAGGAUUAGAUACCCUGGUAGUCCACGCCCUAAACGAUGGAUGCUAGUUGUUGGAGGGCUUAGUCUCUCCAGUAAUGCAGCUAACGCAUUAAGCAUCCCGCCUGGGGAGUACGGUCGCAAGAUUAAAACUCAAAGGAAUAGACGGGGACCCGCACAAGCGGUGGAGCAUGUGGUUUAAUUCGAAGAUACACGAAGAACCUUACCUAGGCUUGACAUUGAGAGAAUCCGCUAGAAAUAGUGGAGUGUCUAGCUUGCUAGACCUUGAAAACAGGUGCUGCACGGCUGUCGUCAGCUCGUGUCGUGAGAUGUUGGGUUAAGUCCCGCAACGAGCGCAACCCCCUUUCUUAGUUGCUAACAGGUCAUGCUGAGAACUCUAAGGAUACUGCCUCCGUAAGGAGGAGGAAGGUGGGGACGACGUCAAGUCAUCAUGGCCCUUACGCCUAGGGCUACACACGUGCUACAAUGGGGUGCACAAAGAGAAGCAAUACUGCGAAGUGGAGCCAAUCUUCAAAACGCCUCUCAGUUCGGAUUGUAGGCUGCAACUCGCCUGCAUGAAGCUGGAAUCGCUAGUAAUACGCAAAUCAGCCAUGUUGCGGUGAAUACGUUCCCGGGUCUUGUACUCACCGCCCGUCACACCAUGGGAGUUGUGUUUGCCUUAAGUCAGGAUGCUAAACUAGCUACUGCCCACGGCACACACAGCGACUGGGGUGAAGUCGUAACAAGGUAACCGUAGGUGAACCUGCGGUUG
RNAcentral lists this ribosomal RNA (1485 nucleotides) under Helicobacter pylori Hp A-16. RNAcentral's name for it is "bacterial SSU rRNA". It matches the Rfam family "Bacterial small subunit ribosomal RNA". Lineage: Bacteria; Pseudomonadati; Campylobacterota; Epsilonproteobacteria; Campylobacterales; Helicobacteraceae. The record is from RNAcentral.